AGCAUCAAGAGCUUUGUAUCUUCUGGAAUAUAAAGAAAAUAAAAUUUGACAUGAAUGACAUAUAUAAAUAAAUAUCUAUAUCUAUAUAUUGUUGUGCAGAAACUAGGUUGCCAAACAUAAAAUACUAUUUGUAGCAAAGAAAAGCAUUUUGCUUUGAUUCAGGGAAAGCUGGUGCUGUUUUAGCAGUUUGAAUGGUACAGACACAAUAUCUACCAGUGGGACUUCUUUCCCUUCUACAUCUCAAUCCUGCAGUUCCAAGUUGCUUUUUAAGUAAAAAUAGGAUCCUUUGCAGCCUCAUCAAGCUGCCCAAGAGGUAGGCCUUACGGGAGCCAGCCCUUCCGGACGGAUCGAUUCCGCUUCGAAACUCCUUCAACGGUGCUUUUUUUCAUAUUUCUACUCUUGAUAGCUGGAAACCCUGUUUCUUAACUGAAGCUGUACAUUUUUAUACCAUCUUUAAAAUCCAAGCGUCGGUCUUUUCUUUUCUUUUUUGUAUACAGAAAGGUUUUUUUUUUUUAAUUCUGUGUUUUCUUUGUGUUCGUUUCUAAAAAAAACAAAAACGAUAAAGCUCGUCUGCACGUUGGAGCAAAAUCGAGUCUGCUCUGUUUUAGAGCUGGCGGGAGGGAAUGGCUUAAAUUAGACCGGACUUUUAAAGCUGGUUCCUUUCCUCUUUGUGGGUAGGACUUAGAAGUCAGUAGGAGCCUGAUUUUGUUGGUUUUAUUAUUAUUUUUUAAAGCCUGCAUCAGCCCAGUGGCAUUUUGGAGAGCUAUCUGGGUGGCCUUUCUUACCAACCAUCACUCAGCUCUUCUAAUAAUUUGUGGCAGGAAGGAAGUUGAAAUUGGAGGCGGUGGAUAUAAAACAGAGAAAAAAUGGAACUGUUUUAUUCCCCCUUAUGAGUAUAAAAACUCUCAGCAGAGGGCAAUAACUUCUCCCUGCCCCCAGUAAUUUUCAUUUUCUGUAGAUUUCUCCGUUUCUCCAGAUUUUCGCACUCCUAGGAGGCAUUCCUUGUAGCAUCUAAUUGUAUGAUGGAUGAAGAGCUGUUGGGAGGUUAACAGAUUGGGGGGGAAAGAUACAGGGAGAAGAAAAUCAGGAAUCUGGGCUGUGUAGAACCCAGAACAAAUGUGGGUUUGUGGGGGAGAUACAUGCCUCUCUUCCUCCCCCCCCAAAAAAAUUAAGAGUCAUCCAACAUGUGGAUGCUCCACAAGGGUGAAGAGGGAUUUUUUUUCUGCCUGUUCAUAGAUCUGGAGGUGAAAGGGACCAUUUACGCAGGAAUCUAAGCCUGAGUUUUCGACUGCCUAUUAACUUUAUCUCUGCCUUGUUGAACUGGGAGCAUCUGUGAGAUAGGAGCACCCCUUCUCUUCCCCGUAUCAUUGGCUUUUGGGGAUCCAGGGCGGGCUAUGCGCACCCUGUCUAGAUUCUGCUUUUCCACCAAAGUGUGGAGGAAUAUCAUUCCAGAAGCAUGGUAAGAACCACCAUCAUACUUGGACUUGCAUCUGUUGCUAAUGGAUAAAGUGGCUUGCCAUGAGUUGGGCUUUUGGUCUGCCUGUCCCCAUUGGGUUGGCACAAGAUAUCCCCAAAGAUUUGAGCAGAGUUGCUUGCUUGUAACCGUGAGCCAGCAGUGAGUUGGGUGCAGCUAUUAUACUUCGCUUAUUUGCUUUUUUCCCCUUGGCAAAGAGGAAGAAGCUAAGUGACUCCUAAGUCCUGGUGGUGUGCUCAGGUUUGUUCAACAGCUUAAGGAGGACGAGCAGGAGAUGCUUGGGAGUCCAUAUUGUUGCUUCUGGCUGGUGAGCAUUGCUUCUCAAGUACAGCUCUUAGGGUCAAAGCUUCUGGCCCUUCUUUUGGGGUGGGGUGGGGAAUUGAAUCCAGCCUUGGACCAACCCAAGGAUCUCCUCCAUCAAGCCAAGAGGGCCAAGUCAUUCAGAAUUCCCUUGAGGAAAGUUGCAGUCAUUUCCAUAGUUUUGAAACCUGUUGCAUGGCAGCAAUGCUGUUAGAUAAAUUAUAGCAAUGGAGAAACUCUGCCUCUCUGGAUCCAUUGAAGUGCCAGUUCUACAAACCAUUGACUCCCUAGCAGGGACCAAUGAGGUGGUCACCCAAGAUUACCUGCUCCUGGCUUAGAAGCACGUCCUGCUCCAAAAACUCCCUGAGCUGGCCACUCGUGGGAAUCAAAACUGGAAAGCAUCUAUAAAUACCUCUUUAGAGGAGAGGAAUGAAAUGAAAGGGGGUUGAGGAGUUGGUUAAGAUGGCAGAGCAAACCCUCUAACACUCAAGAGCUCUUCCAUGUUCAGCAGGAAAAAUGAUUCCUAUACUCGCCUUGCCCGCUGGCAUUUUUGUAGUGCUGUGUCCUGUGUAUCACGUUGUGUCCUGCUGCUUUGCGUUGCUGCAUCCCGUUGAUGUCAGUUGCACUUGAGAUAUAGAUAGACCAUGAAUAGGUCUUGGUGGUGUGUGCCAGGAAUGUAAAUGGGAAUUUAAAUUGCUCCUCCUUUCUGGAUCUCCAGUGGUGACUUUAACCUGCUUUCUUGUAUGGUGCUACGUAGGUAAGUCGUCACUCUGGCGGCUAGUGCCGUUCGAUGGUCGUUCCCAAAUAGCUUUCCAUAGGCAGUGUCCGAAAGGAAAAAUCUUUUUUGCAACCUUCCAUUGAACGUUCUUAUUUCUGGUCCUUGCUUGCUGAAAAUACUAGUUCCAAAUUCAGGUGCGAAUUUGUGAAUUUGAGAGCGGGUUGCCAAGAAGAGGGUGUUACUCUGGCCUUCCUGAUCUGUGGAGCAGCUUCCACAGCAUUUUGUAUGCUUCCCCAGGGGAGAUUAACUUGAUCUCCUUCAGCAGGGCGUUAUUGCACGGUUGCGUUCACACCACACCAAGUUCUCCUCGAUGUACGUGGAGCCCAGACAGGGUGCAAUCACCGUGUCUUGCUUUAAGAUUGUUACAGGGCUGGGCUUCAUUGUUGCUCUGUAUAGUGUUGGGCAAAUGUUGGGGGACCUGUGCAGAACUGAUUAGGUAGUGCCAAAUGUCUGUUGUUUUAUUAUCUUCUGCUGGAAUGGAGAAAUUCUUGGUCAUUAUGUUUGAGUGUGAACUAAAUACGAUUGGGACAGAGGGUGCUCCCUGGGUUUUCAGAACUCUUGCAUGUAGUUCUGGACUCAGUAUUCAUUCAAACUUGGAACCACAGUUCUUCAAAAACAGUUGGAACCAAACUGGUUAAAAGGCAACCAUAUUGAGGAUCAUUCAACUUGGGCCUACAGAGUCACACUUUUGGCUUGGAGGUGAGAGUUUUUGGAGCCGGAGAGCAUUCUACAAACGUUCCCACACUGCCCUCUAUUGUUGUCGCAGUCGCUUGUCUUAAAGUUGAGGGUUGCUGAAGAUUGUGCUGUCAGAAAUCCCAAGGGUUUCAUGGGAAUCCAGCAUGCUGGUUGGAGAAUUCUAGGAGUUGAAGUCCAUAUAUCUUCAAGUUGCUGAGGUUGAGAGACACUGUUGUAUCUCACAAGAGUCCAGAGUGAAAGCAAGGAGCAUUACCUUCACUCUGAUUUGGCUUUGGACACACCAUCAAGUGAUGUUCUGGACACUCCUUCCUGAUUCCCACACAGGGACACUGCAGGAAAGUGAGCAGGUGUCCCCCCCCCCUUACCCAGGAGCACAAAUUUGUAACGCUGGUGGUGAUCUCCACCUUUUUAGUCCUUUUUUCACAGACCCUCAAAAAGGCUGAGUGGUCUCUGCAGAUUUUUAAAGUUAUGAGCAGGAUAGCAAAUGUCUGUAAGCAAAGGGAAGGGAAUUCAAUUCAGUACUAAAGGGAUGUGCAGGACAGACUCGAUCCAGUUUGAACAUCUGUUCAAGUUUAUUCUGUUGAUGUGAUUCCAAUUGUUGAUGUGGUUCAGGUCACCCAAUCGAUCCAGAGUUUUUUAAUGAGGUCAUUGAGGUGAUCUGAUCUGGAAAGUUGUUUCAGGUUGGGGGAAACACAUUUGUAGCAAAGCUCACCGAAUCGUCGGUUCCGUCUGAAAGCCUCCAAGUGGAUUGGAUGGCUCGAUCUGAAUUCCCCAUCCCAUCUGGAAAGUUGUUUUGCUACCGAGAUUCAAAGUGUGAUAGGAUCUCCAAGUUUACAUUUUGCACGCCUCUCUGUGCUCGGAACCCCUGUUCCUCACACCAAAGCAUCCAUGUGUGCAGCUUAUCCACGCGUCCGUGUUUGCAUGUUGACAAGACUGGCAAACAAAAAAAUUCAACGACGUGAGAGGCUGUUAUGCUUUCUUCUGGUCUUCUGAAGCCACCGUUGACUCACCUACCUUUACAUAGGGGCCUACCGUGGAUCUCUUCCCCUGUGAAGAUCCAGAACUAAAUGGCUGGACCAGAUCUGCUGAAAGGCAUUGUUGUUUUGAGUUGAUCAAAGAAUUCUCUCCACACGUGAUUUGCGUUGGCUUUGCCAACCAGAAUAACCAAGCCAUCUUUGGAGCCCAGGCUUGAAUCUGUGUGAACAGAUUGAGUGGUAGACAAAAUCUCAGCGCCAUGGAGCAGGUGGCACAGCCAGAUGGCAUAGGAGGGAAAUAAGGGCUUACAAAGGAGUGCAUGCACCUAUCGAUUUGGCCUUGCUAAUUUUCUAAUUUCCCUCCAACGAGUCCUUCUACUUUGCAAAUCCAACAUUUUUUUUUUUUUAAAGGCCUGCGUGGAAACCUGUAUGCCUUUUCUGUGGAUUUCUUGUGUUUUCCAAUAUGCAAACAUUUUGUAGCCAAUUUUCCUCUCACCGCAAUGCACCAUUCGUGUAUUGUGUUCCCUAGUAUAUAGUAUUUGUGUACCUGGGGUUCAAACAGCAUUGCAAACUUCAGAAAAGUAUGAGUUUAGGUAGGCAACCCUGUUGCAGCGUGCGUUUACAUUCAGGCAGCCUGGAUUAGACAAAUAAUAUUUAUCUGCAUACCGAGGGGAAAUUCAGAUGGGCCUCUUUUACAAGAAGGGACAUUUAGGAGAAAGCAAAACCAGUUUAGCAAUUCAAGCAAAGGGGCUCAGAUGGCUUCGCUUUUAAAGUCUGGGACUUGAACUCUGCGUCUUCAGUGGGGUUAGGCGUGUGGCUUAGCUUGUUGAUUUAAAAAAAAAUAUAUGUGGAAGAAAUCAAACUAUCCAGAUUGGUCUAUCCAUGCUGGGGGGGGGGCAGUCUAGAAGGUAAGGUACAAACCCUCUAGCCUGUUUGAAAAACAUUGGGGGGAAAAAACUCUAAAAAGCUGCUUAUGCAAAUAAAAUUGAAAUAAUUGCAAGAAUAAUUUAAAGAACGGGGGUAGCCCAUCCUGUGCCUUACUGUGCUAGCUUGCUAUCUGAUGAGCAUUUUUGUCGUUUAUUUCGGUUUCUUUACAUAUGGUGCAAACAGCUCUUAGAGAAAACACGGAGCAUUGCUUCACUCCAAAGUGGUACAGUACAGUGGACCAUGUCAGGACUCUAACACCCUUUCUGCUACGUGUGUUAAGUGAGCGCCAGGUGAUUAAAAAGUCAGUUGCAUGUGAAUAGUGUGUAACUUGUGUCGUUCCGCAGCAGAGAUGUGCCAACCAACUUUGCAUUUCAUUGGGGACAACCUUGAAAAAAGUCCUGGACAUUGAUAAGCCUGUAAAUGCGUUUUUUUUUUUUUAAAAAAAAACUGCUGGAAGAAUCUUUAGGCUGCCAUGCAAGGGGAAGAUAAUAGCUUUGGCAAGAAAAAAAGAAAAAAUGGUGUCAGUGCAAGCAAAAUUUAAAAAAAAAAAACUUUGAGGGUGGAAUGAUGACAGGAGUGUGUUCACCCUCCAUGCCCAACAUAAGGUCAGGUUAUUGUGGGAAACCAAACAUCUAACCCCUAAUCAAUGUGUUUGUAACAAUCAUGUGCCUUAAAUUUUUUUCUUGUUGGGGGGAUUAGGGAUGAGGUGAGGGCUAGGGAAUAACCCUAACCCUAAAAAAAAAAAAAAAACAAGGUCAAACCAACACUUGUCUUUCUGUAACCUUCCCAAGACCAAUGCGGUAGUUUUAGGCUGGGGGUGGACAGUCCCUUUUUGCAUUGUAUUUGUACUGUACAACAAACAGAUCAGUUUGGUUUUAAGACUAUAGGGAGCGGGGGGUGGAUUUUGCUUUCACACAACCAAUGUUUAACGUAACCCGAAUGUAUUAAUAUUAUUCUAGGGAAUUUCCGUAACCCUGACGAGUAGAAUGCUGAUGAAAACCAGGUGUGUAGGUUUAAGAGUUUGGUGUGUUUUCAAUAAACGAUGCCUGGAACGAA
Non-coding RNA from Python bivittatus (Burmese python), 6205 nucleotides. The record is from RefSeq and is a predicted model, not a curated record. Lineage: Eukaryota; Metazoa; Chordata; Lepidosauria; Squamata; Pythonidae.